CAAUGUCAAACGAACAUUGAUAAAUAAUGCUAAUAUUGACAUGUUCAGAAUUACAAACUAUUCGACAAAACACAAAUGCAGACUAAAAAAUAUAUCUGGGACAGAAGCAAAUUUCCCUAAUGUUCAAUCAGACCACAAAAUAGACAUGACAACGACGAGACAGCAAAGGAAAUAUUACAAAUAGCAAACAAUUUUUGGUACUCAGGAUGAGCAACAGCCACCACUCUGUGUCACUGGCUGUCCACGGAUAUUCACUGUCGGAGGCUUGGCAGAGUUCGAGGCUGGUUGGCUUGCCAUCCUAUUUUUGAUAGCACCAGUCAUAGCCAUGAAAGCCUGUUCGACAUUUGUAGCAUCUUUAGCACUGGUCUCCAAGAAUGGAAUACCGAUUUCAUCAGCAAAUGCCUUAGCCGUUUCAUAUGAGACAACUCUGUUUGCAGUAAGAUCAGCCUUAUUUCCAACAAGAAUUUUGUUGACGUUAUCACUAGCAUAACGAUCAAUUUCACUCAACCACUGUUUUACAUUAUUGAAGCUCUCUUGAUCUGUCACAUCAUACACAACAAUUAUGCCAUGGGCUCCACGAUAGUAGCUGCUAGUGAUGGUCCUGAAGCGUUCUUGUCCAGCUGUAUCCCAAAUCUGAAGUUUUAUAGUCUUCCCAUCUUGUUCUACGGUACGGAUUUUAAAAUCAACUCCAAUGGUGCUUAUGUAACUCUCCAGAUAUGUGUCGUCAGCAAACCUCAG
This 738-nucleotide unclassified non-coding RNA is filed under the name Hevea brasiliensis (rubber tree). Lineage: Eukaryota; Viridiplantae; Streptophyta; Magnoliopsida; Malpighiales; Euphorbiaceae. The record is from RNAcentral.